GCUUAACGCGAAGAACCUUACCCAGGCUUGACAUCCCUGGAAGGUCUCCGAAAGGAGACUGUGCCUUCGGGAAUCAGGUGACAGGUGCUGCAUGGCCGUCGUCAGCUCGUGUCGUGAGAUGUUUGGUUAAGUCCAUUAACGAGCGCAACCCUUGUAAGUAGUUGAAUUUUUCUACUUAGACCGCCUCGGUAACGGGGAGGAAGGAGGGGAUGAUGUCAGGUCAGUAUUGCCCUUACGCCUGGGGCUACAAACACGCUACAAUGGCCGGUACAAAGGGCAGCCAACCCGCGAGGGGGAGCAAAUCCCAUCAAAACCGGUCCCAGUUCGGAUAGCAGGCUGAAAUUCGCCUGCUUGAAGUCGGAAUCGCUAGUAACGGUGAGUCAGCUAUAUCACCGUGAAUACGUUCCC
Molecule: ribosomal RNA, 408 nt
Filed under: uncultured bacterium
Lineage: Bacteria
Description: bacterial SSU rRNA
Rfam family: Bacterial small subunit ribosomal RNA
Source: RNAcentral